Molecule: ribosomal RNA, 253 nt
Filed under: uncultured bacterium
Lineage: Bacteria
Description: partial 16S ribosomal RNA
Rfam family: Bacterial small subunit ribosomal RNA
Source: RNAcentral
UACGUAGGGUGCAAGCGUUGUCCGGAAUUAUUGGGCGUAAAGGGCUCGUAGGCGGUCUGUCACGUCGGGAGUGAAAACUCAGGGCUUAACCCUGAGCCUGCUUCCGAUACGGGCAGACUAGAGGUAUGCAGGGGAGAACGGAAUUCCUGGUGUAGCGGUGAAAUGUGUUGAUAUCGGAAGGAACGCCGGUGGCGAAAGCGAUCCGCUGGACCUCUUCUGACACUGAGGCGCGAAAGCCAGGGGAGCAAACGGG